GGGGCCGCGUCCGGCCGGUCCCGGAAGGUGCUCUUUUCCCGCGCGCCGCCUCGAGGGCGCAGCCGGCGCUCGGGGGUCACGUGAGCCCCCGCCUCGCGCGGCGGGCCGUCCUGAGGAGAGGGCUCCUCCUACCGCGGGCCCGGGUCCGGGGGCUGACGGACUCACGGCGGAGCACGGAGCCGUGCGGGGUCCGGUUCCAGUGGGGAGGCGGCAAACCGAGCGUGCGGACGGGAGGAGCGUGGCCUGCGCGGGAAGCUCCGCGCCGCGCUCGUUGUUCCGGCGAGAAACGCGUCCUGUGAACGCCUCGUUUGUUAGGACCGUACCAGACGCCAGGCAUGCGGCAGGGAACAAGGCAGGCACUUCGCGAGUUCACAGUCUGUUGAAGAAGCCCGGCAAGGAAACAAUUGAGAGGCGUUGUGGAACAAGGACGGGCGUCGUAAGAGCCCCGGGGAGACACGGGCAGGAGGUCUCAACGGCUUUCCCACGACGUCUGAGUGACACGUGAAGAGACGAUGUAACGAAGGCCGAACACCCAAGUAAAGGAGACGAGAUGGGAAAGUCCAGAGACGCGGGCGCGCUGAGCACUGGGGGAGGUGGUUCUGUGCCGCAGGGAUACAGGAGUUGCGGGAAGAUGGUGGGAGAGUUGAGGUGAGAGGUAGGCAGAGAACCUUGUGCAUCUGGUUGGUGCUGUUUCCAAGUGUGGAGCAGGAUCUUUCGUUGCUGCGCCAGACUCUCCAGCCUGUGUUGUGGCACGCAGGCUCAGUAGUUGAGGCGCUUGGGCCUAGUUGAUCGACGUGCAUGCAGGAUCUUUGUUCCUUGACCAGGAGUUGAACCCAUGUCCCCUGCAUAGGUUUUCUCCGCUCACAUCAGGCCUCAGCGGAAAGCUCACCCACCGGGCACUCUCGCGGGACGGGAGCAGGAGGGGGUUCUGCCCGUCGCCGCCCAGUGUCUGGCUUCAGGUGCCCCUCUCUCUUACGAAGCUGUUCUGAGUCUAACUCCUUGAACAGCACGAGAAAAGAGUGGACAGGACAGAACGCCUGCUGGGCCAACGAGAGCAGGUUAGUGGACAGAACGCUCUCAGCUGAGUAACUGCUCUCACUGCGGCUCUGCUGUGCGCAGCCCGUGAACGGCACAACCAUUUUCCCUGCGUGUCUGUCUGUGGAAAGAAUUAGGCUCAGUCAAAUGUAAAAUACACAUCAGUUUGCUUUAAAUGCAAAGAUUAACGUUUUCCUUACUUUGUUUUUGGCUCAACUGCAACAUAACUCCAGAAGUCUCUGCUUUAAUAAUACAAUAUGGAAAGUUCACAUAUGUACAUGGGUACAUUCUUUCAUUAAAGUUUUCCCUUAAAUCUG
Capra hircus (goat) is the source of this 1352-nucleotide long non-coding RNA. RefSeq lists it as uncharacterized. The record is from RefSeq and is a predicted model, not a curated record. The transcript is spliced from 3 exons. NCBI's taxonomy places the organism in Eukaryota, Metazoa, Chordata, Mammalia, Artiodactyla, Bovidae.